This 1001-nucleotide ribosomal RNA is filed under the name uncultured bacterium. Its description in RNAcentral is "bacterial SSU rRNA". It matches the Rfam family "Bacterial small subunit ribosomal RNA", at positions 355 to 1375 of the family's 1533-position model. The record is from RNAcentral.
UGGGGAAUAUUGGGCAAUGGGCGCAAGCCUGACCCAGCAACGCCGCGUGAAGGAAGAAGGCUUUCGGGUUGUAAACUUCUUUUAAGAGGGAAGAGCAGAAGACGGUACCUCUAGAAUAAGCCACGGCUAACUACGUGCCAGCAGCCGCGGUAAUACGUAGGUGGCAAGCGUUGUCCGGAUUUACUGGGUGUAAAGGGCGUGCAGCUGGGUCUGCAAGUCAGAUGUGAAAUCCAUGGGCUCAACCCAUGAACUGCAUUUGAAACUGUAGAUCUUGAGUGUCGGAGGGGCAAUCGGAAUUCCUAGUGUAGCGGUGAAAUGCGUAGAUAUUAGGAGGAACACCAGUGGCGAAGGCGGAUUGCUGGACGAUAACUGACGGUGAGGCGCGAAAGUGUGGGGAGCAAACAGGAUUAGAUACCCUGGUAGUCCACACUGUAAACGAUGAAUACUAGGUGUGCGGGGACUGACCCCCUGCGUGCCGCAGUAAACACAAUAAGUAUUCCACCUGGGGAGUACGAUCGCAAGGUUGAAACUCAAAGGAAUUGACGGGGGCCCGCACAAGCGGUGGAUUAUGUGGUUUAAUUCGAAGCAACGCGAAGAACCUUACCAGGGUUUGACAUCCUGCUAACGAAGUAGAGAUACAUUAGGUGCCCUUCGGGGAAAGCAGAGACAGGUGGUGCAUGGUUGUCGUCAGCUCGUGUCGUGAGAUGUUGGGUUAAGUCCCGCAACGAGCGCAACCCUUACGUUUAGUUGCUACGCAAGAGCACUCUGAACGGACUGCCGUUGACAAAACGGAGGAAGGCGGGGACGACGUCAAAUCAUCAUGCCCCUUACGUUCUGGGCUACACACGUACUACAAUGGCGUCUAACAGAGGGGAGCGAAGGAGCGAUCCGGAGCAAAUCCCAAAAAGACGUCCCAGUUCAGACUGCAGGCUGCAACCCGCCUGCACGAAGUCGGAAUUGCUAGUAAUCGCAGGUCAGCAUACUGCGGUGAAUACGUUCCC